Molecule: long non-coding RNA, 608 nt
Filed under: Manacus vitellinus (golden-collared manakin)
Lineage: Eukaryota; Metazoa; Chordata; Aves; Passeriformes; Pipridae
Description: lncRNA (ENSMVIG00005005157.1)
Source: RNAcentral
GGCUCAGAUUUUCAGUCGUUGACUUCAGCAAGAGCUGCACUUCUCUUUACAAUUCUUCUCAGACUAAUUGAAGGGAAAAAAUCCAAACGUGUAGGAUGUGGGAGUCUGAUCUUACUAUGGAAAAAGGAAGAGACAUUGAUUCCUCUACUCCAUUGGCCACAAAGCCUAUUCUGGAUAGAGGAAUUGAGAUGUUGCUGAGCUUUCAUUUUAAUAGACAUGGGAGCAUCAAAAGGUAUUAUUUUCAGUAAUUCUCUAGGUGAGAUAGACCAGUUUGAAAAUGCUGACAGCUCUACAAGACUUUACUGCAUCCAGGACAAACAGCAAUGGAACGUUGGUCUGGAAGAAUGCAGGGAGUUGAAUUGGAAGUCAGCUGUUUUGGUGUUGACAAUGUCAAGGUGAAGCAGCAGUGUCCAUGUCCAGACAUUCUUUCAAUAGUGAUCCAGAAGUAAGAAGGCUCUGCACAAGCCACUGUACUCUCCUAAAAUCCUUCAGCAAGUUUUAAAAAAAUCACAGGUGUCUAAACACAGAUUUCACAUAUGGUGAAAUGGCUGUGUUCCAUGUAUCUGGAAGGCAGUGGCCGUUUGCAAGCAGGAUAUUCUUAUAGGGCC